Molecule: ribosomal RNA, 468 nt
Filed under: uncultured bacterium
Lineage: Bacteria
Description: bacterial SSU rRNA
Rfam family: Bacterial small subunit ribosomal RNA
Source: RNAcentral
AUUGAACGCUGGCGGCAUGCCUUACACAUGCAAGUCGAACGGCAGCACGGGAGCAAUCCUGGUGGCGAGUGGCGAACGGGUGAGUAAUAUAUCGGAACGUGCCCAGUCGUGGGGAUAACGUAGCGAAAGCUACGCUAAUACCGCAUACGAUCUAUGGAUGAAAGCGGGGGAUCGCAAGACCUCGCGCGAUUGGAGCGGCCGAUAUCAGAUUAGGUAGUUGGUGAGGUAAAGGCUCACCAAGCCGACGAUCUGUAGCUGGUCUGAGAGGACGACCAGCCACACUGGGACUGAGACACGGCCCAGACUCCUACGGGAGGCAGCAGUGGGGGAAUUUUUGGACAAUGGGCGCAAGCCUGAUCCAGCAAUGCCGCGUGCAGGAUGAAGGCCUUCGGGUUGUAAACUGCUUUUGUACGGUACGAAACGGUGAGCUCUAAUACAGUUUGCUAAUGACGGUACCGUAAGAAUAAG